UCGGGUUGUGCUAAGAGGGAAUCUGGUGAAAAUCCAGAACUGACGCGCAGCGGUAAUGGGGAACGAAAGCGACAUGCUUGAUGUGUGAUGUCACAUCAAGACGAGGCACUGAAGUGAAUUUCGGGAAGCCGUCGCCGUAGGAAAUUAAAAUCGCCCCUGAGUCCGAAGACCUGCCAAAGCAAUUU
This 185-nucleotide non-coding RNA is filed under the name uncultured Alkalimarinus sp. The record is from RNAcentral. Lineage: Bacteria; Pseudomonadati; Pseudomonadota; Gammaproteobacteria; Alteromonadales; Alteromonadaceae.